This 798-nucleotide ribosomal RNA is filed under the name uncultured Verrucomicrobiota bacterium. RNAcentral's name for it is "bacterial SSU rRNA". It matches the Rfam family "Bacterial small subunit ribosomal RNA", at positions 37 to 840 of the family's 1533-position model. The record is from RNAcentral. Lineage: Bacteria; Pseudomonadati; Verrucomicrobiota.
UGGCGGCGCGGAUAGACAUGCAAGUCGAACGGGGUUUAGUUUGUAGUAAUACACGCUAAAUCCAGUGGCGAACGGGUGCGUAACACGUGAGUAAUCUGCCGGGAAGUGGGGGAUAGCUCGCCGAAAGGCGAAUUAAUACCGCAUAUGACAAGGGAAGACAUCUUUCCGAAGUCAAAGUCGCAAGACGCUUCCUGAUGAGCUCGCGGCCUAUCAGCUAGUUGGUGAGGUAACGGCUCACCAAGGCAAUGACGGGUAGCUGGUCUGAGAGGACGACCAGCCACACUGGAACUGAGACACGGUCCAGACACCUACGGGUGGCAGCAGUCGAGAAUUUUUCACAAUGGGGGAAACCCUGAUGGAGCGACGCCGCGUGGAGGAUGAAGGUCUUCGGAUUGUAAACUCCUGUCAUGCGAGAACAAGAAAGUGAUAGUAUCGCAAGAGGAAGAGACGGCUAACUCUGUGCCAGCAGCCGCGGUAAUACAGAGGUCUCAAGCGUUGUUCGGAUUCAUUGGGCGUAAAGGGUGCGUAGGUGGCGUGGAAAGUUGAGUGUGAAAUCCUAGGGCUUAACCUUAGAACUGCACUCAAUACUCCCAUGCCAGAGGAAUGUAGAGGAGAGUGGAAUUCACGGUGUAGCAGUGAAAUGCGUAGAUAUCGUGAGGAAGACCAGUUGCGAAGGCGACUCUCUGGGCAUUUCCUGACACUGAGGCACGAAGGCCAGGGGAGCAAACGGGNAUUAGAUACCCCGGUAGUCCUGGCAGUAAACGGUGCACGUUUGGUGUGGGCGGGCUCAGACCCCGU